GAGAGCAGCCUAAGGGGGUAGCUGGAGGCAGAUGAGGCUGGAAAGUGGGGCGCAACGUGUCAGGGCUUGGUCUUUAUCUCCUGAUUUCCUCUGCCCAGCGGUCACUUCAUCUGGGUUCUGCAUGAGGCCAACAGUCUUCCAGGUCAUGUAUCCAUCCCCGAGAUGGAGUCAGGAGUGACAGGCUUUGAGAGUGUCCAGCCUGAGCCAUGUCUGCUUUAGGAAGGCAAGGCUAGCCUUGUUCCCAGGAGAAAGCUGCACGGAUGCUGGGAGAAGUGGAGCGUCGGGGGACAGACAGCGUCCACUGCAGUAGGCAAAGGCGCACAAUUCCUACACCCUUGCAUCCCUAGGACUGGCCUUGGACAAACGGGACAGCCCAGGAACGGGUGUGGAGCUGUCUGUCCAACACUCACGAUAGGAGAUGCUGGGCCAGUCAGUUCCCAAGGGACAGGUGGGCAGUGUUCCUAGGGGCCUUGUGACACUGGGCUCCUGCUCCCCAGGAGGGACCAGACUCCACGACCACACCUGACUCAGGACCAGGCCGGCCAGAACCACCUCCGUCAUCAGCACAGGAAUUUCAACCUGAAGGGAUUCCUCCUGGGCCAGGUGAGCCCACCUCAGGCAACCUGCUGGCCCUGCUCCUAGGGGAUACCUGUACUGACGCUGAGCAUGGGGACAGCAGCCAGGAGGCACUGAGCACCACCACGGGAGGCCCCUGACACGUGGGUCCCCUGCGUAGCUGGGACGAGUGUGUCCGGCUCGGGCUCUGAGUGGGGUUUUCACCUGCAAACGUUUGUACACGUUCACCUCCAAGACCGCAAUCAACCAAAUAUGAGCGAUGGCUGCGGCGUGCGCGGGGCCUUUGUUCCUUAAGCAACAGAAGUUUGGGGGAAUCUGCAGAGACCGUCGAUAAUGUUUUGAAACUCAUUUCAAUUCUGAGAAGUAAUUUCCCAGUUUAUCCCCUGGGAAGGCACCUGUGGCGUUGGGCGGCUUUGUGGCCCAUACGGGGCCCGAGGGACCAUUUCCUGUUUUUAAUAGAAGAGUGAAACAGCUCAUUCAUUCAUCUUUCAUCUGACAAAUAUUUUUGGAGCGUUGUCUGUGUGUCAGGCCGAAUUGGGGGCUUGUAAUGUGGGGAACGAACGGAGUCCACUCAGCUCCUGGCUGGUCCCUCACGGGAGCCAGGGAGAAAGGGGGGCAUGAAACUCCUCAUUUCACAAUUAUUCACGCAAUUGUCACAGGAAUAGAGGUUACGUAGGAAAGAAUUCAAAUGUCAGCCGAUGCAGAGUUUAGAGUAAAUCUAAGUUAAUUUAGCAGAGAGUAAGUAAGGAAAGAAAGGCCACCCACAGACAGAGAGGUGGUCUCUAAUCGUUAGUGGAAGAGGGGGCCCCCUCCAUCCACCAGGCUGGGGUGUUUGUGUGUUUUCCGCUUCCG
Molecule: long non-coding RNA, 1428 nt
Organism: Rhinolophus ferrumequinum (greater horseshoe bat)
Lineage: Eukaryota; Metazoa; Chordata; Mammalia; Chiroptera; Rhinolophidae
Exons: 3
Source: RefSeq, a predicted model, not a curated record